UGGGGAAUAUUGCACAAUGGGGGAAACCCUGAUGCAGCCAUGCCGCGUGUGUGAAGAAGGCCUUCGGGUUGUAAAGCACUUUCAGUAGGGAGGAAGGGUUGAUGUCUAAUACGCAUCAACAUUGACGUUACCUACAGAAGAAGCACCGGCUAACUCCGUGCCAGCAGCCGCGGUAAUACGGAGGGUGCAAGCGUUAAUCGGAAUAACUGGGCGUAAAGCGCACGCAGGCGGUUAGAUAAGUCAGAUGUGAAAUCCCCGGGCUCAACCUGGGAACUGCAUUUGAAACUGUCUGACUAGAGUCUUGUAGAGGGGGGUAGAAUUCCAGGUGUAGCGGUGAAAUGCGUAGAGAUCUGGAGGAAUACCGGUGGCGAAGGCGGCCCCCUGGACAAAGACUGACGCUCAGGUGCGAAAGCGUGGGGAGCAAACA
RNAcentral lists this ribosomal RNA (427 nucleotides) under uncultured bacterium. RNAcentral's name for it is "bacterial SSU rRNA". It matches the Rfam family "Bacterial small subunit ribosomal RNA", at positions 355 to 774 of the family's 1533-position model. The record is from RNAcentral. RNAcentral also lists the same sequence under 1 other name.